UAACUUUUUUUGAGAGAUGAGAAUCCUUAUUUAACCUAAAAAAUAGAAAAAAUAAAUAUAAUAAGUAGGAAAAGGAGUAAAAUAUUCUUCUAAAUUGUACAAUAUUUAUAUAAAUGAUGCAACAUUUAUUUUAAUGCAAACUGCAGUAUUUGCAUAAAUAGUGUCCAAAUACUAUUAAAUUAAUAAGGUAAAUAAUUUAUCAUGUUCAAUACUAUUACAUGAACGUAGUAAAUGAUUUAUUGUGUUAAUGAAAAAUAUUUAGCUGAUCUUUUGUUGUCCAGCGUGGCACGUAUGUGGACAUCAAUCACAUCAUAGAAUUAUUUAUAAUUUUAAAAUUUUAUAGCGUUAAUUAUGUAAUAAAAUUUUUUAAAGGGGCUAAAUGCCAAACUCUUACCAAAGUUACAAAUGCAAAAAUUACAAUACUGACCAAAUCAACUGAAAUUAGUAUGUUUGGUUUAGUUUUUACAUAUAAUAUUUUUGGCAUUUGUAAUUGAAUAGAAACGAUCGAUUGAUUUUUUUUAAAAAAAAAUCAAUCCUUAAGAAAAUUAUAUUUAAAUAAGUAAUCUUGUUAAAAAUUUAUUUGGUUAGAUAGUUUUAUUUUGUUCAACUCAAUACUAGGGUGAAACAAUAAUUGGAAGAUGAUGAUUCACCGUUUCUUUUCUAUUUUUUUUAUAUAUUAUCGUAACAAAUACAAAAAAAAUUCCAUCAAAUUACAUUUAAUCCUCACAACCUAAAAAAACUCCAAAAACUUAUAUAUACAGUCUUAAAAAUUCACAUAAAAUCUUACACUAUUUAAGUUGACAGUACUUCAGAACACGUGUCAUGAGCACAUUAGCCCAUUCCACGUGUCGAGUUGUAGGUGUUAUAGAAGUUGGAGCUCUCUCACUCCCCUCUCUUCCAGCUGUCACACUUACACCACGUCAUCAAUAACAAAAGUAUAAUAAAAAUAUUUUUUUACAAUCAUGAUGGGACAUAUACCCCUAAAAGGAAAUAUUUGAUUGGUUUGUUAUGCCACGUCAUCAAUAUGCCCGUUGCAUUUUAGCCGACCCCCCCCCCCCCCGCCUUUUUUCUCACUCUCUCUUCCACCUCCUACAUUGUCCCUCUUUCUCACUCUCUCUUCCACGUCACCAAUAUACAUGUUUCACUGAAAAAGUCUACAGAUAAAUGUGUCUUUAUUAUUAUUAUUUUUUUUUAAGCGAAGUUCUUAGACGUUGCUCCUAAAAUUUUCCAGACAACUCAUAAUUUUUUUUAAAAUCUUAUUUUCUACAAACUAAAGGCUAAAUCAUCCCUUUGAUAUUUUACUUAGUAAUCUUUGGAUUUUUUAUUUUUAAUGAAUUUAUUAAAUAAAAUUUUGACAUUAAAAAUAUUUUUUUUUCUUAAAAUUUUCUAUUUUUCUGUGAAUUUGCAUGAUUUUUAAAAAUUUAGAUUUUAUAAAAAUAAUUAGCAAAAUUAUGUUUGAUUUAGGUGUCUAUUAAAAUUUAAUAAUUUUUUAUAUAGAUUUUUUUCUUUUUUUUUAGUUUUUCAAUAUAAAAUUUGAUUUUUACAUAAUUUUUUCACUAUGUUUUGUGAUUUCUACAUAAUUUUUUUAGGUGAAUAUCUAAGCUAUCUUGCACUCUAAAGCAAGUAUAUGAAAGCUAUUAAAAUUUUUAUUUUGUGAAUAAAAUUAGUGCUAAUAUGUUCGAUUUAAAGAGUUUUUAAUCAGAGUUUUAUUUAGUUAUUUUUUUGUUACAAAAUAUUUUAAUCUAUCGAGUAAUAUUUUGGUAUUCAAUAAAAUAUUUUAAAAAUUUUACCAAUUUCAAAAGAAACAUACUAUUUGGUGAUAAAAAUUUUCUUCUCUCUUUUAUUUUUUAAUAUUCUUUUGGAAUAAAAAAUUUUCUUCUCUCUUUUAUUUUCUAAUAUUCUUUUGGAAUAACAAAUUUUCUUCCCUCUUUUAUUUUCUAAUAUUUUUUUUAAUAUUAGAGUUUCUCUUUUUUUUCUAUUUUUUCUUAUAUUAGAAUAAAAUUUUUUUUUUUUCUUUCCCUCUCCCCUCUCUGUCAUAUGGAGUUAUAUAUCUCUCUCCCCUCCUCUCUCUAUCAUGUCUUAUAAUAUCUUAUUAUGAUAAUCUAUAUAAACUCUUUCUCUUCUUUUUAUCAUAUUUUAUAAUAUUUCAUAAUAAUCUGUAAGAUCUCUGCUUUUUUUUUCUCUCUUUUCCCAUUUUCUCUUUCUCUCUCUUCAUCUCUCUAUCUCUCUAUCGCGUAUAAUAUAUAAAAUCUUUCCAAAUAACUCUCUUCUAGAUAGUUAUUAUGUCUAAGAAUUAUAACUUUCACUUUUACAAUUUUUUCUCUAUUCCUACAUAUUUUUAUAAUAUCAUAUUCUAUGAAAUCUCACAAAAUUUUUUCAAAAUUUUUAUUAAUCUUUUCUCCUUGUCACAACUAUUAAAUUUUUAUAAUUUUUCUUCACCUCUUUCUUCCUAUUUUAUCUCCUUCUUAUAAUUUUUUGGUUAGGUUAUGUACUUUCUCUAAGACUCUUAUUUACAUUCUUUUAAUUUCUUUUUUAUUUUAUAUUCCCACUAACAAAAAUAAAUAUAAUUUUAUUUCUUUCAACCAAACAAAUGUUGAUAAAAUUUUUUUUUUUACAAACCGAACACUAUUGUUCUAUAAAAUAUUCUAUUUUCCUUAUCGAUAAAAAACUUUUAUUUUUUUCACUUUUUUCCAAAAAAAAUACUAUUUUUUUAUGGUUUUACUUCCAAUUAAACAUCCCCUUAGUUGUUAUUUUUUAAGUAUUAGUUUUUUUUUUUACAUUAUUAUUAUUAUUUCUGCUUAAUUAUUUGACCGAAAGCAUUAUAUUUAUAUUAGAAUAAAUAUUAUAAUUUUAUAUUCGAAUAUAAAAUUUUAUUUUUUUAUAUCUAUCCAUAGCAAAGCGCGACUGCUUCACUAGUUUUAAUAAUCUCAAUCAAAUUCUCACAACCCGAAACAGUGAAUGAUUCACUGCUAAAGACGGUAAAUGAUUCAACGUCUAUUAUUUCUCCUCCAUAUGGAGCUCAGUGCGGACAAAAUUAAGUUAAUUUGUUAAUUAAAAUUUUGAUAAAAUUAUUUAAUAAAUUAUUUUUUAGGGUUAAUUUUACACAACUCCCUAUAAAUAUAUAGAACAGCAAAUAUAUCAUUAUAAAAUUUAAUAUUUCAUAGUUAUCCCUGUAAAAAUUCAGUGAUAUUUAUAUUUACCUUCUGGUUUGUUAUCAUUAAAGCACUGUUUAUUUUUUAUCAGAAGAUAAGCGAAAUGACAUAUUUACCAUCACAAAUGUCUUUCUUAAAGUCUCAACUAUUAGAAUUAUACAAAAAUAUCCUUCGAAAAAUUUCUAACAGUUAUUUUUUUUUUCUACUAUCACAAAUAAUAUAAGAGGGGUAAAAAAGUCAAUUUACCAUAUUUACUAAGGUUAAAUAUUUUACCUAUAAUUAAUUAUGUUUUUCUAUCAAAUUCUAAUUAUGGAGACAAAUUUAAAAAUAUUAAAAUUUUUGUAGGAAUAAAUAUAAAAAAUUAACUUUGUAGAUCUUUACAGAGCUCUAUGCUAAUCCUUUGGUUUAAAGAUUUUCUGUGAGAGAAAAAAAAAAAAAAGAAAAAGCUUGAACUGAUGUUGCUCACCCCUCCGUACUCCGUAGGGCCACAUUUCGCAUUUAUUUUUCCCUAAAUUUUUUUGUUAAUAGUCAUUUGCGUAAUAAAAGGUUUUGUGGGGGGUCUAAAUGCGAAAAAAAAAAAAAAAUCCCUUUCCUUCCCAAUUCUCCACUUUUCGCUCCCUCGCUCCCCAACACGACGCGAGAGAGAGAGAGAGAGAGUAAGAGAGAGAAAGAGUAGAGAGAGAGAGAGAGAGAGAGAGAGAGAGAUGAUAUGGGAUACCAUAUCAUGGGGCUUCGUCUCCUCCUCUUCUUCAUCUCCACCCACACCGUAAUCUCCGCCUCCGCAGGUACAAUUACCCCCCCUCUCUUUCUCUCUACAACCCUAAUCUUGGAUCUCCAGAAGCUUCGCUUCUGUACUGAUUUAACACUAACUGGAUUAUAAGCUACAACAGUUUUCCAUGUCUUCCCGUUUCUUGAUCUUGCAAGAACACCAGGAACCCCUUUGUUUUAGUUCUUGCUCUUACAAAAUAAGGGGGAAAAAAGGUUUUUGAUUAUUAGAUUAGUCGGGUUUUAUGUUCUUGCUUGAAUUGUUGUGAGCUUUUGUUGUUUUAAGCAGAUAGGAGUAGAAAAGGAGAGAUUUUGUGUUCUUACGCUCAAAAAUAAACAACAAAUAGGGUUUUUUGAUUACUUGAUUGGUUGUUCUUUGUUUUUGCGUGAAUUGUUGUGAGUGUUUGUGGGUUUAAGUAGAUAGGAACCUGAAAGGAGAGAUUUUGAGUUCGACCUCCGUUCUUUCGCUAAAAAAUAAACAAAGAAAGGACUUUUUUGAUUACUUGAUUGGUUGUUUUUUUUGCUUUUGCUUGAAUAAUUGUUAGUGCUUGUGGUUUUAAUUAGAUAGGAACCUAAAAAGAGAGAUUUUGAAUUCGUCCUCAGUUCUUGCACUCAAAAAUAAGAAAAAAGAAGGGGUUUCUCUUUUGUUAUUAGAUUGGUUGUUCUUUAUGGUUUUGUUUGAAUUGUUGUGUGUUUGUGGGUUUAAGAAGAUAGGAACCUAAUAGGAGAGAUUUUGAGUUCAACCUCACUUCUUGCACUCAAAAAAUAAGAAUAAAGAAGGCGUUUCUCUUUUGUUACUAGAUUGGUUGUUUUUUAUGGUCUUGUUUGAAUUUGUAAAUUUUGGGGUGCCCAAGGAUCUAUCUAAAUUGUAUCCAACACCUAGAGGGAGGUGAAUAGGUGUAACGGCCAAAAAACCACAAAUCUCGAUGCAAUAAAAGUAAAUGCAGAAAAUAAAAAUCACACCGAAAUUUACGUGGGAAAACUCCAACUUGAAAAAAAACCCAUAGGACCAACACGCGAAAAAAUAAUUCACUAAGAAAAAAUAUUACAAGAAGAUUACCGACUCCACGGACUCGACCUCUCUUAACCUCUUACGAAUCUCGCGCAAUCCUCCGGGUUGUCCACACCCUCACAUUCGAAUCCACGAACGCCUCGCACACGUCCGAAUCCACGAACGCCACUAGAAUCCACGAGCACACGAUCCGAAUCCACGAACCGCCUUCAAUCACGCCGAAUCCACGACGCCGUCCAUGAAGAACAUCAUGAUUAUGGUGAUCUUUUGCUUAGAGUAUCGUUGAAAACCAGAGAAGAAACUCCAAGCGAAGUUUAGAUCAAUUCGACAUAUAGAUAGGAAUUUCAAUACUUCGAAUUGACCUAAAAGAGGCUAUUUUGUAGAAAAUAGGUUUUUGAUGAAUUCCGAACCUCUAGGGUUUCUCAAACAUAUAUUUUCGUGAUGCUUUAUGUGUUAGAGAACCCCAAUAGCUUAUUUAUAGACUCUAGAAUCAAUUAGAGUCGGAUUUGAAAGUUUUUCGGAUUUUUACAUUGUGUACCGGUACAUUUUUAAGCUGUUACCGGUUACAUGAUGACGGAACAGAAAACCUGCGAAACUCUGUAACCGGUGACAUGUCGCUGGUUGUACCGGAACAUAGUUUGUACCGGUACACUUUCAAUGCUGUACCGGUACACUUUGCAAUUUCCUGAAUUUUCACCGUUUCUGGUUUCGCAAAGUUCCGACGCACUUUCUAAUUCAGUAAAUUUUGAUUUUCUGAUUCUAAUGCCUACAACUAAGUAUGAAUCACCAUAACAUGAAUUAACACUUUACGUGAGGAUCGUGAUUCACGUCGUGAGUUAUUUUUCGAUUUUUUCGAAGUGUUGGAUUCUUCGAUCUUCGACGAUACGCACUGAUCCUUCAAGACUCCGACUCACUUCACGAAACUUGCCAACAUACAAGACUUAACAAUCUUCCUCUUUGGCAAUUUCGUGACAAAACUCACAAACUGAAAAUUAUGUAAUAAGAAUCGAAGUUCAAUUGUCAUCACCAAAACAUUGAACUCCUCGCAUGUGAUCCAAAUACAAUAUGAAACUUAAAAAUACAUCAAAACUCCUAAAACAGACUAUGACUUAGACGCAACUAGGAGUCUUGAAGUCUUGAUUUCCUGCAAAACAAUUUAUCCAAAGAUGAUAUCUCGAUUUGAAACCAUUGGAUUUUUAUACCUUUCAAUGUCAUUAUCUCAUUAUCAUUGUCCUCGAUCACUUCUCCCCCUUUGUUCUUGAGUUCUUCCUCUGCUUCAAUCAAAAAUACCUGUUCAUCUGUGAUCUCCCCCUUUUUGUCAAAAAUUGCCAAAAGAAAGUAUAUAGAGAGAAAACAUACUAAAAAGCAGAAAACUAGUCAAGUCAUAGAUACAGGCCUAAAAGCAAAAAUAAGCAAACUAAACAGUCUUAGGAGAGAAAAGAUAAAACAUAGAUAAUGAAGCUCAAAAAGGUAAGAUCACUCCGUGUCCUCAUCAUCAUCAUCAUCACCUGCUCCAGCUCCAGAUCCCCCUGCCUCAGGAGCACUAGUCGACAGUGGAAUGAGCGGAUGUCUCGACGUCGACCUCGUGUAGGUAGGAUGGGUAGGAAAUAUGUCGUCAUGCCUACAUCCUAGCUUCUCCAAAACCCUCUUCAACCCUACUUCCAACUUUUUGCCAAGUUCUCCCACCCUGCCGCAUAUAGGUCUCAAAUAAAUAAGUCCCUGUCUCCUCAUCCUUAGCAAGCACCCUCCCGUUCGUGUAGAACUCUCAAAUGAGUUCCACACAAAAAGGAGAUCGAGCCGGAACAUGUCCAACAGGCUAGAUGGGGACCCUCUGAAGCAGUUGGCCGAAAUCAGGAACCUCCUUGAUGAGUUCAGUAAAGUUGACAUAUCUUUCGGCGAUGCAUGACCUGCUUGAGAAUGUCCUCCGCCGCUCCGGUGGAACAUCCGCGGCUUGCUUUGAGCGACUCUUUCGUGCACGAGAGCCACCUCCGCGUGAUGAUUCUCCAGCUAUGCCUUUCCCUUUGUCAGUUGGAGCAAUCGGUUCUGCAGUAGCCUCCGGAGAGCUCGCUUGGUAAUCUGGAUCAGACUCGGACGACUCGCCUGCAGUACGAGUCCUCUUGGAGGCCCCUCGACGGCCUCGACCACGUCCUCGACCACGACCAGUGGCCAUUAGCACCAACAGCAGCAGCACGAACGAGAAUGCCACUUUUCCUACAUAACAAAUGAGCCCUGUAUGAAGAAAAUCCGGAAAAUUCUGUAAAAAUAGCGAAAAAAUUUCUAAUAAUAUUAGAAUGAAUAACAAUGCUAUUUCUAACUAAAUCAUGCAAAUUUUUUCAUCAAAGAUUGAUUUUCAUCAAAAAUCCCGAAAUUCCAUGUAUAUAGAGGUACAGAUCAAAGAUCAGCAAAAAAUACAGCGUUAUAACCUGAUCUAAGUGUUCUAGAAGCAAGAUUAUAUGUCUAAAUACUGAUUCACAGCAAAAAAUUGCAUANUUUUUCAUCAAAGAUUGAUUUUCAUCAAAAAUCCCGAAAUUCCAUGUAUAUAGAGGUACAGAUCAAAGAUCAGCAAAAAAUACAGCGUUAUAACCUGAUCUAAGUGUUCUAGAAGCAAGAUUAUAUGUCUAAAUACUGAUUCACAGCAAAAAAUUGCAUAAAAAACGAAUCAAAACAGAGAUCAUGCUUCAACUCGAAAUUUUUCGAAAAAAAAUAGCAAAAAUCGGGAUUAGAUCUUCAAAUUUGAGCAAAAUACUUACAAAUCGUUAGGAAAAACGAGUAGAUCUGGAAGAGAAGGUCGCCUGGGAACUUUAGAGAGAGAGGGAGAGAUUUGAUAAGGAUUUGAGAGAGAAUAAAACCCUGUGACCGGUUAUAACAAACGCGGCACAGUGAUUUGUACCGGUACACGGUAUUUUGUACCGGUACACUUUCCUAGAUUUCAAAAAUUUUGAAUUUUUUCCUUCAAAAAUCCGUCAAAAUUAAAUUAAUUUUAUAAAAAUUAAAGAUUGUACUCCAAAAAUCAUUAUGAUGAAGAUAAAAUAUUAUAGGAUUUCAAAAUACAUCAAAACAUCAAAAUUUGGCAAUAAAAAAUAAUCUAAUGAUUCAAAACCAUCAAGAUGUAAUGUUGAUGAAAAAUGAUUUUUAGAAAUUCGGCAAAAUUGACUUCCAAUUUGUCGCAACUUGUUCAAAAUAGAGAUUUAACUAAUAUGGCAUCGGGGGUGGCUCUUUGAGCAUCUUUUCAUCCUACUACCUUAUACCUCCGAAAAUUCUAAUAUAUAUAUAUAUUUUUUCCAACGUUUUCGGUUAUUCCAUUAAUUUCCAUGUGGUAGCUUCGCACACUUGCCGGACGACCGGGGUGGUAGCUCUUUCCUACAUGUAGUGGUAGUUUUCACACUCCUUUUGAGUAUAACUCUUUCCACAUCUUUUAAAUAUAGGAGUUUUUUUUUUUUUUUUUAAAUAAUUCAAACUCCCCCUAAAUUAGACAAUCUCACAAUUGAAAAUAAUUUUGACGAAUUUUAGUCAAUUAGAGAAUAUCCAUCCAUCAUAUCCAACACACACAACCAAGAUGAAUUAAUCACCAAGAGAUCAAAAUUGAUUUCAAAAUUUUGAUGAAUAUAUGUAUUAAGAAUUCCUAUAUUAAAUUAUCGUCAAAAUAAUAAAAGUGGAGUAAAACCGAUAAUUAAUAUGAAUUUAACUUAAUAUGAAUGUAAAGUUAAAUACCGUUUAAAGCACUUUGAAAAAUUUAAUCUCCCCAAAAUAAUGAUUUUCAAUCAUCUCCUUUCUCAAAGAAAGUUUUUAAAUUCCCAAACACCUUUCCUCAAAACGAUUUUUAAACAAAUAAAAUUCAAGCACAAAAAAUCGUCCAAACAUGUAAUGCAAUGAAUACAAAUAUGCAAUAAGCACCAAACAAAGCAUUACAUAAUCAAUCAAAACAAACUUAAGACAAAGAACAAGGAAAGAUAUCACCUUUCCGGAUCCACACUUGUCGGAUAGUAGGUUGUCUUGGCUUAUCGACGUUUGGUACGGUUUGCUUUGAUUUUUGAUCCACCGUAGAUUGCUUCGUUGUAGGUGACUUCGAUUGAAGUUGCCGGUGAGAUUUAGAAUUCCGGUUCCCUUGAGGCUUCGGUCGGACUUCACAUUGCGCAUUAGAAAUCCGGUUUGCUUGUGGUACUCGACGAACUUGAUUUUUCUUUUGAUUCCGUGGGGGAAGUUAAGUUGUAGAUGAUACCGAUUGAUGUUUCGAAGUUACCAAUAGAUUCUUCUUUGUCUUGUUCGGGCAACUCUUUUUGAUGUGUCCUUUGAUACCACAUCUAUGACACACCUUCUCUUUCGAAGUUGUUGAGACUUUAUGUAUUACCUUUUGAUCCUUCUCAACAUACGUUCUUUCAUAUCCGAGGCCCAACUUGCUCGUUUGACCCAAUCCAAGCAUAUGGUCCAAUUUCUUCGAUCCCAAAGAAAAUUUUUGAAUAUCGGAUUGGAGUUGACGAACUUGAUCGGUCAAUGACUUGUUGGAUGUGUACGAUUCCUCAAAUUGUUGCUCCAAAAAUCCAACUUUAUCUUUAUAGGAUUUGAUCGUUAAUUCCGCUUCAUCACGCUUCUCUUGGAGGAUUGAAUUGUCUUUCAAUGUUCAUUCCCUUUCCUCCUCGAGAAAUUUAUUCAUUGUCUUCAAGUUGUUGUUUUUCUCUUCGAGAUCCAACAAACGACGCCUCAACUUCUUAUUAAGUUUCGCCAUCUUCUUCGAUUCAAUAAAAAGUUGAUUAUACGCUUCUGUUAAAUCCUCGUCGUUUGAUUCCUCCUCGCUUUCACCAUCAUCGCUCGAAGUACCAUGCAAGGAAGGAGAAACACUAGAAUUAGACACAAUAGAGGAUAAACAAACAACAUUAGACGAAGGAAAAGAAGUGUUAGUAAAUAAAACAAGAUUUUAAUUCUUUUCUUCGUCACUUGAAGAUGAUUCACUCGAAGUAGAGUCAUCCCAAGUUUUAGCUUGCAAAGCCUUUUGUCUAUAAGUCUUCUUAGAUGGACAAUCCGUUGCAAUGUAACCGUAGCCUUUAUAUUUGUAGCAUUGGAUUUUUCCUUCAAAUUCAUCUUUUUGUUUUGAAGACUUUGCAAAUUUCUUAUCCUUAGAUUUAGAAGAUGAAGAUGAUUUAGAAAAAGAUUGUUGCUUAGACGAUGAAGCUUUGUCCGAUUUAAUCUUCCAAAAAUUCCGUCGGAACUUCUUCGUUAGGAGCGCUAAUUGAUGUUCGAAAUUGGCGAGCGAAAUAUCCCCGUCGGAAUCGAGUCAUCGUCUUCUUUCUUUGUUGAUUUAAGUGCAACCCCUGUACUUUUAGAAGAAGACUCGGAAGAAGAUUGGUUAGUAGGAAAAAUCAUCUCAUAAGUUUGCAAAGUAUCUAUUAACUCUUCGACUUUCAUCUCGUUCGGAUGCUUUACGGUUUUGAUUGCGGCAACUUUUGCCCGAAAGCGUUCCGGAAGAGUCCGAAGAAUUUUUCUAACAACUUUAGCAUUUGGGAUUCUCUCCCAAGUUCGCACAUGUAUUAACAACGUCUUGUAGACGCGUAUAGUACUCAGUAAAGGUCUCGUUUUCUUUCAUAAAAAUCGAGUCAAAUUUGCUUGUUAACAUUUACAAUUUUUGGAUCUUUACUAAGCUAGUUCCUUCAUGCGUAACUUGUAGAGUAUCCCAAAUUUCCUUUGACGUUUCACAUGCCGAAACGCAAGUAAACUCCGUUUGAGACAAUGCAUUAAAUAAAGCGUUUAUGUCCUUGCCGUUAAACGAAGAUGACUCAUUCUCAUCUUUUGUCCACUUAUUUCUCGGUUUCGGGACGGUAGCAUUAUCGACAACUUCGGUUGGAUGUUUCCAUCCGAAUUCAAUUGCUUGCCAUACCCGCUCAUCGAUUGCAAUUAGAAAAGCUCUCAUGCGAACUUCCAAUAGGCAUAAUUCGUGUCAUCGAAGAGAGGUGGUCGAUUAAUGUUACCGCCUUCGCCCAUUAGAUAUCAAUUUAUCUAGAUCUCUCUCUGAUACCAAUUGUAAAUUUUGAGAUGCCCAAGGAUCUAUCUAGAUUGUAUCCAACACCUAGAGGGGGGUGAAUAGGUGUAACGGUCAAAAAAUCACAAAUCUCGAUGCAAUAAAAAUAAAUGCGGAAAAUAAAAAUCACACCGAGAUUUACGUGGGAAAACUCCAACUUGGAAAAAAUCCCACGAGACUAACACGCGAAAAAAUAAUUUACUAAGAGAAAAGACUACAAGGUGAUUACCGACUCCACGGACUCGACCUCUCUUAACCUCAUACGAAUCUCGCGCAAUCCUCCGGGUUGUCCACGCCGUCACGUUCGAAUCCACGAACGCCUCACACACAUCUGAAUCCACGAAUGCCACUCGAAUCCACGAGCACACGAUCCGAAUCCACGAACCGCCUUCAAUCACGCCGAAUCCACGACGCCGUCCAUGAAGAACAUCAUGAUUAUGGUGAUCCUUUGCUUAGAGUAUCGUUGAAAACCAGAGAAGAAACUCCAAGCGAAGUUUAGAUCAAUUCGACAUAUAGAUAGGAAUUUCAAUACUUCGAAUUGACCUAAAAGAGGCUAUUUUGUAGAUAAUAGGUUUUUGAUGAAUUCCGAGCCUCUAGGGUUUCUCAAACAUAUAUUUUCGUGAUGCUUUAUGUGUUAGAGAACCCCAAUAGCUUAUUUAUAAACUUUAGAAUCAAUUAGAGUCGGAUUUGAAAGUUUUUCGAAUUUUUACAUUGUGUACCGGUACACUUUUAAGUUGUUACCGGUUACACGAUGACGGAACAGAAAACCUGCGAAACUCUGUAACUAGUGAUAUGUCGCUGGUUGUACCGGAACAUAGUUUGUACCGGUACACUUUCAAUGCUGUAUCGGUACACUUUGCAAUUUCCUGAAUUUUCACUGUUUCGGGUUUCGCAAAGUUCCGACGCACUUUCUAAUCCAGUAAACUUUGAUUUUCUGAUUCUAAUGCCUACAACUAAGUAUAAAUCACCAUAACAUGAAUUAACACUUUACCUGAGCAUCGUGAUUCACGUCGUGAGUUAUUUUCCGAUUUCUUCGAAGUCUUGGAUUCUUCGAUCUUCGACGAUACGCACCGAUCCUUCAAGAUUCCGACUCACUUCACGAAACUUGCCAACACACAAGACUUAACAGAAUUGUUGUGAGUGUUUGUGGGUUUAAGUAGAUAGGAACCUAAAAGGAGAGAUUUUGAGUUCGACCUCCAUUCUUUCACUCAAAAAUAAACAAAAAAAGGACUUUUUUGAUUACUUGAUUGGUUGUUUUUUUUGCUUUUGCUUGAAUAGUUGUUAGUGCUUGUGGUUUUAAGUAGAUAGGACCUGAAAGGAGAGAUUUUGAAUUUGGUUUCCAUUCUUUCACUAAAAUUUUUUUUAAAAAAAUAGCGUCUUUUGAUUACUUGAUUUGUUGUUUUUUUUUGUUUUUGCUUGAAUUGUUGUUAGUAUUUGUGGUUUUAAGUAGAUAGGAACCUAAAGGGAGAGAUUUUGAGUUCGUCUUCUGUUCUUGCACUUAAAAAUAAAGAAAUAAAUAGGGUUUUUUGAUGGACUUUUUUAUGAAAUAACCUUUUAAAAUUUUAUUAUUUGCAAAAUAACUUUGCGAAAAUUAUAUUUGAAAAACUAAUCUCUUAAAGACGGUGAAUGGUUCACCGCCUUCAUAAAGACGUGAACGAUUCACCGCUUUCGUGAUUUCUUAGAAAAGCGGUGAAUCAUUCACCGCCUUUCUACGGUUUCUUUCUAUACACCUAACAACCACAUAAAUAUUUCAACAAUCACAUAUAAUCUUAACAACCUGAAAAUUCUAAUAAUCUAUCCAUACAAUCCUAACAAUCAAAAAGAUCCUAAUAAUCUAUCGAUACAAUCGGAAUAAUCAAACAUCACAUAUAAUCUUAACAAUUUGAAAAUCCUAAUAAUAUAUCCAUAUAAUCCUAACAAUCAAAAAAAAUUUAAUAAUCUAUCCAUACAAUUAUAACAAUCAAACAAAAAUUCUAAUAUUCCACACACAAUCCUAACAAUUUUACUUUUUUUAUUUCUCGUAUAAUCUACGUACAAUUUUAACAACCUCAUUUUUUUCUCUUUCUCAAAAAUUAUGAAGAAGAUGAUGAAUGAUUCACCGUCUUUAAAAGACCUUAGAGACUUUCAGAAUGCGGUGAAUGAUUCACCACGUUUCGAGAAUUAAUUUGCCAAAUAUAAAUUUUAGAUGGUUAUUUUGUAAAAAAGUCCUUUUUUGAUUACUUGAUUGGUUAUUCUUUUGUCUUUGCUUGAAUUGUUUUAAGUUUUUAUACUUUUAAUAAUUUAGGAACCUAAAAGGAGAGAUUUUGCAAUGGUUAAGGGCUAAACAUAAGUCAGCCGUAGUGUUUGCACUUCAAAAAUAAGGGAAAAAAAAGGGUUUUUUGAUCCUUGAUUUUUUUUCCCUGCAUUUUUUGCUUGAAUUUUUGUAAUUAUUUGCAGCUUUACGUAGAUAGGAAUCCAAAAGGAUAGAUUUUGCAGUGGUGAUGGGGCUAAACAUAAUGGGGUGAGGAGUCCAGGAUCUCUAUAUUUUGGUUUUAGUAUCAUAAAUUAGUUGCCGAAGUUGAGGGAUUUUAGCAUGGAUGGUGGAAAUUAUUGCGAGUGCUUGUGGUUUUAAACAGGUAGGAACUUAGGGCCUGUUUGGCAACCCUAAAAAACAGAGUUCUGAGUUAAAUACACUAUUUUUUAAACAGUACAGGAUCUUAUUUUUUUCUUUUGCAGAAUGGUUGUUUGGGUACUUUUAGUAUUGUCAAACUUACAGCAAAAAAAAUUGCAAACAGUAAUUUUUGGGAAAUUGUAACAUCCACUCAUUUUUUUUGUAAAAAAAUUGCUCUAUUCGUCAGGCGGUUGUUGCUUUUUCAGUUGUUUAUCAGUUUGUGAUUUCUACGGUUAAGUGUGUGAGUAGAGUUUCUCGGUAUUUUAGGUGAUGAUGAGGAUGCUAGCUAGGUUCAGCAGUGCAGUUCCAAUUUAUCUUGUGACUUGUAGAAACUAUAUUUGGGCCUUGAGUGUUCGGCAUCAUCAAAAUUGUCGAAGAUUUAUGCCUUUCGUAAACUCUGAUUUUUGUUAAUGAGAAUCUUAUGAGGAAAUGGGAAUAAAUGCUGCGCGACAAUUUUAAAGUGGUUCUAGUUUUAGACUAUCUUCCAUAUAGGCUGAGUGACUCCAGUUGAGGUUGGAUCUAGAAUUUUUGCACUUAUAUUUAUACAUCUAAGGAAUUUUCUUUGAAAACCAUGGUGCCAACUCAUAAUUUGAUUAAAAUCUUGGAAUCUUCAAAAAAAAAAAUGCAGUACUAGAGUGAACUAAGUAGCCAAUAUUGAAAUAUGUAUGCGAGUAAUGCGAGUAUUAAGACUAAUGCGAAAUAUGUAUGCAUAAGACUAAUGCAAGUAAUAAACCUGUUUAUUGAAUGCAUUUUUGCAACUCCCGGAAGUAGAAGCCAGGGUCAUGUCAAACCACACAUAUUCAUACAAAGUAAAACACUGAGACCAGUAGUUCACUUUAUCCAUUUCUGCAAUCGGGGCCCUGUAGUAUUUAAAUGCUUCAUUCCUGAAAUGAGAUUAAUUUCAAAUAUUUUGAUUUAUUUGAAGUCAAAUUCAGUUAUUUAGAUUGCUUUUCUGAUUUAAUAUUCAAACGAGAAAUUAACUAUCAUCCAGUCCACUAAUCAGGUAUGCAUCUAGUAAUGCAACUGGGAUGGGUCUUUCAUUUGAAAUUUCGUGGUACUUUUUUCAGUGUGGCAUUAAAGAGUCUAAGUUUAAUUCUGUUGAAAAUCUGUGACAACUAAAUGUGCAAAGUUCUCUUUAUUGAGGUAAUACAAUGCAGAUGCAUCAGCAUCAACCCUUUUAUCUUGUUUAAAAUAAAUUGUGGAUGAGACUGGUGUUAUCAGAAUUGAACCAAACCACUGGUCAAAUAGGAUGAAGUGAUCUUUCAUUUUUAGACAAAAAUAAGUAAAUAAAGGACAAAACACUGUUAGUCUAGAACAAUCAAGUAUUAAAAAAGAAAGUGUGCGAACUACAUAGUUGAACCAGUUUUUGUAAAAGAGUUGCAUAUUGUGUCAUUAGUGAUCUACUUUAUGUAAGUAGUUUUAGAUAUAUUAAUGGAGUGCCCAUCAACUUCUUAACGAUUUAAACUGGCUUUGGCACGAUUCCCGUGCAUUAGGGGUUUGUCCUUAUUUCUUCUACAUACGGUAUAAAGAAAGGAUUGGUAGGCUCGUCCGAACAAAGGGAAGGGUCUUCUUCGGCGGAUCCCUCUUGUUCCUGUUUAGUCUCCUUCAUUUCGGAAGUUGUUUCUACAUUGAUUUCUUCAGAUAUUGGGCAGGCUUUUCUAAUAGGGCACUCAAUCAAUCCCCAAUCGAUCCUUCGCUAGUUACGAGUUGCGAGCUACUCGUUCUCUUAAUCUCUUCCUAUCACUAGGUCCGUCUGUCGGAUUACAGUGCUCGCCAGCCUAUUCUAUCUUAGUGUCCAUCCGCCUUAACGUCUAUACAAAGGAUUAUGUAUGGGCAAUAUUGAAACUGUUCUUUCCAGUAGUUUUUUCUUUUUUCUUUUUUUUGCGGCCCGGUGCAGCUUAGCAUUGCUUUGUCAUGCUUUUGCCCGUUGCAGUAAAAUCCCCAUUUUUGCCUCCCGUAGGUGUUUGGGAUGUGUCUAAGUACCAGUGUGGCUGAUGGCGAGGCAUAUUCAGAUUGUCAAUAUGCCCACUAGCUCUGGAAAGACAUGCAUGCACACCUCCUUCCAUUGCCAUUACCUGCCUUUCCUACGGCGCUGUUUUUUCUCCUUCGGUGGUGUGUCAGCAUUAAGUCAAAUACUUGUCUUUAGAUCCAAAUCGAAUACUAGUUCUUCCGUUAGGCAGUUCCACUCAAUAGAAAAGUCGGUCCCAUACUAGUUCUAUACCAUAUGGAGCCACCGCCGCUUUUGUUGGUGUGCUCUCCUAUCAGUCUACCCUUUCUGACUGAAGAUUCUUGCUGCCGAAAUCCUUAGGAUUAGUGUUUGGCGGUUGGGUACCGGGUACCUGAUCCAUUGGAGAGCCUCGUACUGUGGUUUGUAGUUGAUUACAUAAGUAUGGUUCGGACAUUGAUUAUUAGUUUGUCACACCUGAAGAAAAUAUGAUUGUUGUAAAAUAUUUAUGCAAUCUAAUAUAUAUUCAUACAUUUCAUUCUUUUUAAAAUUAGAUGGUUCACGCCCUUAUUCACCAGCUCAAUUGGCUAAAUCUUAAAUGUCCUCCUCAAUGCUGUGAUGCUCAAUUCUGCUAUCAUGAAGUUGUAUGAGACUUGAAUGAAUCGGAGUUUCUGAUCAACCUGCCGAACUAAUUUCUGUACAUUCCUUUAAUACAUACAAAAUUUGCUCAUAGUAGGAAUUUGAUAUAAUAUAAUGCAGGACAAACGAAAGGGCUUUGUACAUCUCCUGGGGGGCGAUUCCCUCCAUUUUCAAACGAAGGGAAGCCUCCUAGAAGAGCACCGAAAGGACCAAGAGACUUGACGCUCUGUAGGGUCUUCCGGCAAAGUACAUGUUGUGAUGUAACCCAGACUUAUCCUGCCUUGUUGUCUGUAAGAAAGCUGGCUUCGACUGGAGAGGGAAGCCAAGAAUGUUUGCAUUUAUGGGAGCUAUUGGAGUGCUCCAUUUGUGACCUGCAAGUAGGAAUUCGGCCCGGGCCACCUACAAUAUGUGCCUCCUUUUGUGAUAUGGUUUUUGAGGCCUGUUCAAAUGCUUAUUAUUCUGUCGAUAUAAAGAAUCAGGUAACUAUAACUUUAAAUUUUAACGUUUGAUUUAGAUGUAUUAACAAGGAUGUACAAGUUGUCUUGUCCUUUAGUUCACUAACCAUCUCUCUGUAGUUGGCUAAUGAUGAUUUAUAUGGAGGCCCCUUAUUGUUCAGAAAAUUUCAAGAAUGCCCGUUACUUUUAGCCUUUUUAAAUAAACCGUCGCUUUUAAGUUGUCUUUCCAAUAAAGGUUCUUGCUGUUUUAACUUGUCAUUCUCCUUUUUUGUACUUUUCCCUUUGAAAACAGUAAACUUCAUAAGUAUACAGGUAUCACUUUACUAAAAUUUUACCAAUCUGAUGAACAUUACUCGAUUUUUCCGAUCUAAAUCAAGCAGGUUUAUGAAGUUUAGAUGACUAAGUUUAUAAUAAAGGGAUAAAUGUCUCGACUGGUGCUAGCAUAUUAUUAAAUUCCUCUUAAGGAUGCUUUGUGGGGUCUUUAAAGGAAAAAAAAAACUUUAAGCUAAGGGAUGUAUUUAAGAACAUAAAAUUUGUGCUUUCCUGAAGUUGUCUGAAUAAUGGGAGAGCCUUCAUAUAAAUUUCCAUAAUCAUGCACACACCUAGAGGAAAAACCCUGCUUUUUAAGAGCUUUGUGAGCCUUGUGGCUGGUUUUCUAUAUUUUAUUUUUACAUAUCCUUCAUAUAUAGCGAAUUCACAGAUUCAACUUUCGGAGACGAUUUCUAAUAGAUUUUGGUUCCUACUUUCUCAGUUGUUGUCUCCAUGUGGCUUAAACGACAUAGUCUGUGGUAGAGCGAGCGAAUGGGUCUCUAACGGUACGGAGCUCUGUCACCUUGCGGGUUUCGCUGUGCAACCGGCUAAUAAUAAUAUUGGUUUUGAGAGUGUCGAUGAGCCUUUCUGCUAUGGUGGGAAAGCAAGCUUGCAUUCGAUCUCUGAUUCAUGGAGGGCUUCUUCACAAGCUCGUUCGGAUUCGCCCACCUUGAACUCGAUAUUGCUCGAAGACUUUCAACAAUGGUUGAGGGAUAUGCCGCUUAGUGAAAAGGUUUCAUGGGCAGUUGGAGGACUGGUGCUUACUGCAGGGCUACUUGUUAUCAGGUUUGUCAUUUUGAACCCUAAAUAUAUAUCUACGGCACCAAUAAUUUUACAAAUAAUUAUAUUAGUUCAUGUGAGAAGCUUCUUUUCGGAUGGUGAAAGGUAAAUGCUAUUUUGUUAGAGCAUCACAGUAACUGCUGCUAUUUUCUUUGUCGAAGUGCCAAAUUAAUGAUAUCGACUUGUCGUUGAACUGAAAGAAGUUCGACUGAGUUUACCGGACGUAUGAGGGCUAAGCUUGGAUUUGCUUUGGGAUUGAUGGCAUGUUUUAUCAUCUCUAAUCCAUGAGAUUCAGUCUUGUUCAAACCCAAAUUUAAAGAAAGAUUAUUGGCGAUAAAGCUAGUACAGUUUUCGUAGUUUUUUCUUUCUAUUGAUCAGUUGAUAGUAAUGUACAGUUGUAUUACUAGAUAUUCGUUUCUUUUUGUUUUUCAUUCUUAUGAAAGCACGAUGUAAUACGCGUAUUCCUUUAUGCAUAUGCAGCAAAAGGAAGAGCUAUAGCCAACGGCAGAAGCAAGCGGCUAUCCUUCGCACCGCUCGGAGGCUGGAAGAAAAAGCCAAGCAGCGGUCACCUAAUCCAAGGAGAUAGAAGUUCCAGAAAAUUAAUGUACUCUUUUUUCUUUUUUUUUUUGUUUCCUCUCACUCUCCACAUUCUUAGUUUUUCGUCUUGUUCCCAUGUUAAACGGUGUUUGUUGGCGGAAGCAAACCUCUCUUACUUAAAUCAAAUCUGAUCCUAAAAGCUACAAAUUCUGCGAUCGGACGGGGUAUAUGCACUUUGUAGAGAACUGAUUCAAAUUUGUAUCAUGCUAUGUCCAUUUAGUUUUUAAGGAUCCAAAUCUGGUUUCCGCGUUAGGACUUGGAUCAGGUUGGUCUGUUGAUAUUUCCACCAAGGAAUCUAGUUUUACACCAAGUUCUCUGCUUCCAAAUCAUUUUUAAUUUUACUUCUAUUUUCUUGUUUGCUGAUUUUGUUGGAAAGAAUUGUGAACAGUUGUGAUAGCUCUUUGUUCCGUUCCUGAGCUUAGUAGGGCAUCUUGCUGUUCUUGGUAUUUACAUGAUUAUGACACUGCUGCACUUAUUAUUGGUGAGCCCAGGUCCGACUUAUUGAAUACUGACUCAUUUUAUCUCGUGGUUUCUGUGCCUCGAAACAUUUUUGAGUGAUUAGAAUAAAGCAAUAUGAAUGUAGAAUCAAGCUUGUGAACAGAGUUGGGUUCUUUUAUUUUGUACAAAUGCGGAUGCAAUUGUGACGCCCUACUUUCUAGACGGUGAUCAUCUAUUCUAAAACUAUUCUAGCUCUAGCAUGCUUAACCCUCUACCGUCCAAAAUGGUAUAGCGAGAUUAAGACACUCACAAGUAUCAGAUCAUGUGAGAUUUAUAAUCUUAGUUUAACUGAGAUUCAUUUCACAUUGUUUGCUAUUAAUUGGCUCUGACACUAACUGUAACACCCCAUACAUCUAGGUUAGCUGUUUCUAUCAUUUGCUAUCCUUAUUUCUUAUUUCGGCUGGCUUCGGAGAACUAUUCUAUUGUGAGAAACGACUUGAGGUUUGCCAAACUUUCCAAAAAGCUGAAAUGACCUUUUGGGCUUAAAAAAUGUAAGCACUCCUAGCUCUGCCUGACUGAAAAGCUGUUAAGAGAAUUUUAGUGAAAAUAAUUUUAGUGCUUAUUUGACCUCCUGCAUGGGUGAAAAUUUUCCCAAGACUGAAAAAUUUCUUACAUGCAUUAUGAUUCCUAAGCAUCUUGAUUGGGACAACCAGUGGAUCUAAACACAUAUCUUUCAAAUAUUUUAACAAAUUUGACCAACCCCCAAAAUUUUCAACCAUCUGCCAGUCUGCCACUACAAACCAGAAAGAGAAGAAAAUAAUAUAGGGAAAACUUCAAAAAGCCCCUAUGUGGUUUUAUACUUUUUCAUUUUAGUACCAUGUGGUUUAAAUUGUAUCAAGUUAGUACCCUGUGAUUUCUCACUUUAUCACUUUAGUACCCUGUAGUUUAAAGUGUAUCAAAUUAGUACGUUGUGGUUUUGUACUUUAUCACUUUAGUACCCUGUGGUUUCACACUUUAUCACUUUAGUACCCUAUAAUUUAAAAAACCACAGGGUACUAAUUUGAUACAAAAUCAAAACCAUAGGGUACUAAAGUGAUAAAAUGCAAAACCACGGGGUACUAACUUGAUACACUUUAAACCACAGGGUACUAAAGUGAUAAAGUGAGAAACCACAAGGUACUAACUUGAUACAUUUUAAACCAUAGGAUACUAAAGUGAAAAAAAUUGAAACCACAAGGGGGUUUUUUGAAGUUUUCCCUAAAAACAAGCUCCUGAAACAUUCUAGCAACUUCUACAUAAUAUCAUAAAACCUAGCUUCUCAUAGAAAAGAGCACACACAGAAUCCGCGGAAAGUAGAAAAUUCUACAUGAUAUAAUCCCACAUGAACACUAAUCUGAUCAAAAAAGAAGGCACAAAAAGCAGGCAAAAUGUGUUCCAUAAUCUAAAGAUAAUGUACAGCCCUAAAGUGAAAGGGCUUUAAAAUUCUCUCUCCCUACUUCUUUGCAUAUGUAAUAAGCAUCGGGUUCUGCUGCGUGAUUUUGAAACCUUGAAGGCCCUGCAUGGCCACGGUCGCCUGCAUCUCGUCGCCAUACUCGACGAAAGCAAUCCCGGGCUUCGCCUCGAUCAUCCUCACUUCUUUAAAGCCAGGAUACUGUAUGAAGAGCAUCUGGAGCAUCAUAGGUGUAGUUUCGUGCGGGAGAUUCUGAACGAAGAGUAUAUUGUUUGGAAGGGCUGGUGCUUCCUGAAGCAUAGACUUGGCACCUCCAGAGUAUGGCAACUGAGAGAGCUGCAACAUUUAUAUUUUCAAUCCGUAGAAAGAAGUAGAAUAAGUGGAAAUGAAAAAAAAUUCAACGAUGGUAAAUAUGCAGACUUGCAGAGGACCCCCAUGUACUAUCAUACUUCUACAGAUGGCAACCCUAACUUUCUUGAGUAGGAAGAAAAUUAAAGAACACUAACAAUUAGCCAGUUGCUACUAACCCACCUAUCCUUUAUUUUCCUCAAUCUUGUGCAACAAAAGCUAGCACGUGAGUACGUGACUACCGCACGAAUCGCAUGACCCUUAAAAGCUUGGUUUUUCAUCAUGCUAAGGUAAGUUUAGGUGCAUUUAAAUCAUUUGGUUUUCAUGUUUACCAAUGGCUGUGAUAGAUAAUGACAGUAAAAGGGAAGGUUGCUCCGGUAGAUUUGUUAACUUCUCAAAGUUUGGGUGACAAUUGACAAUCUUUAAAAGCAUGAUAAAUCAGGAGGCGUUUAUCCCUUGAAAGAAACAAGUGCUAUAAUCUACAAGCAAGAUCAUAAGCAAUAAAACAAGCAUGUAAAAGAGAAAUAGAAAAAGGGGAUUUUAUGCAUUUUGUAGCACUGAGUUUAUCGAAAGUAGUCAAUGAUGUAAUGUUCAUGUCCUACAAUGAAUUUCAUUGCAGCAUAUUUGUAGUGCAUAACAAGUAGCUUCAUCGCCUUUUCUUUUCUUAUUAUUUGAGAGUGUGUGAAAGCACGUGGUAAUGUUACUUUGAUUUGUGGAUUAGAUAAGAUGAACACAUUUUGCAUAUUUGCAAAAAAUGGUAAACAUAAUAAAGAAAAAUCUUUAAGUUCCUUGUAAAUUUAAAGAUGAUUGAUUCAGAUCUUAUGCCAAAGUUCAACAAAAUAAGAUAUUAAAUAGAAACAAUACUUACAGGUGGAGCUCCAUAAACACCAGGAUAAGAGGAAUUCAAACCCAGACCAACUUGAUUGGCAUCAUGGUGCUGUUCCCGCCUCUUUCUUUCAGCUGCAUUUAUACAAGAACCAACAAAGCAAUGAGUUGCCUUAACCACAUUAAUCCAACUUAACUUGCACAAACAUAUGAAAGAUUCUAUUUAAGAAACCACUCAUUCAUUUUACACAAGAGGCAAGUAUGUGAUGUAAAGUGAGCGAAUAGAAUAAGUUAGACAUCUAAAAGUUCAUGCAAGUAUAACUAACAACUCGGUAAAAACAAUCAGAAAUAGAGUAACUCACUUGGACAUAUACACAACAUGAUUGAAAGACGAUGACAAGAAAAUAUAGAGAGUGUACGUUCAACAAUAAGUGUUAAUGGACAUGUAGAUUUACAUAUAAUGAGGCCUAAUGACAUUACACACUUGAAAUCAAAUAUGAUGUGCUCUUAGCAAUGAUGAAGUGGUGCAUUCGAAAAGCAGUAGGACACAUCUUCUUUGGUCCUUGAAAACAUCACACCAGCAAAAAGGCUAGAUUUUAACCAGGGCCUGUUUGGCCUGAAUGGAGCUUCUGCGAGAUUGGUAUUUCAGUAGAGUUAUUCGAAGCAGCAUUAAUAACAUCAUUAAACUAUCUCAAGAGCUUGUGAUAUUCUCAAAUUAGGCAUUUUGUUCUUCACACUUAGAAGCUCAUUGUAACUUUCUAGGAUAGCAAAAGCUCCAGAUUCUUUGUUUGUCAAAUAUCUAUCAGUCGUUUCUCAGGAUGGAGAAGCUAUUCCAUAACGCAGAUCAUUUGGGCACAGAAGUAACAUCAACAUAAGUGAUCAGCUAUAUAAUUUGGGGCUGAACAUAGCUAACAGAGAUUCACACCACAUAUUUUUGCUCUUUAUCUCAAUGUCUACCAUGAAAACAUCCAUAUUGUCGAAACACAAGUUCGUUUACCUAUUUGCAUUUCCUUAGCAUUUCCUUCCUAAGGAAAUGCUCUAGCUGUCUCAAUGUCUUCCAAAAAUUUAGACGUGGAUAAAAUAUCAGUAAAAGAUACAAGUUUAAUGAGCUAAAACAGCAUAUGAAGUUCAAGAAAUACAACCACAUCACAAGCCUCAAAAAAUAAAACCACAUACUUAGUCUACUUUUACAUAGAAAAUUACUCAAAAGCAAGGAGAAGACAAAAUACUUCUCCAACCGUGCUAAAUAAUGUUGAAGACUAAAUAACAAUAAAGAUAGCAGUAAAUAGUUCUAGUUCUGACCUCUAUCAUCAUGCCUCUUCCGUCUUUCUCGAGGGACAAAAGUUCCAUCAGCCUUUGCUAUUAUGUCUGAUUUGGUCUUAGCAUACUGAAUUCUCUGUAAUCAACAAAAACAUUCAAACCAUUUUUUUUUUAAACGCAAAACAACUGCUCUCAGUUUAGCAAGAGUGCAGGACAAUACAAUAAAAGGAACUUGGAUAACCAAAUACUAAGUGUUAUAAAGUGUUCACCAGUUCAUCCAGAUUAUAAAAGCGUUCACCAGUUCAUCCAAAUUUAGGAGACACUUUUGCUUUAAACAAUCAUUUACAUAAAAAUCCGGAUGUUAGGAGAAGAAACUCCAAAUCUGACUGUCAAUCUAUUUUGAAGAUGAUGACCUGCUUGCUUUUCAAGAAUUUUGGUGACUUCAGUAGUUUCAAAUGAAACAUAAGGAAUACUGACACAUCCAACUCAAUAGCUAUGAAUCUCAACACGCCCACAACAGCUGGACUAGAUUGGACAUUCCCCUAACACCUAACAAAAGGUUCCAAUUCAAAUUCCUAAAUAACCAAAAAGUUUGUAACACUAACGAUAAAUAUAUUAUAGUUGGUUUCAAUAUAGUGAACUUACCAUAGGUUUGUCGUAGAAGGGAAAUCCUUGCAUCCGCUUGAGAGCCUCACUUGCUGACGAAACAUCCUCAAAUACUACCCAUGCUUGUCCUUUGUGUUUUAAUGUUUUAAAAGCAAGGACUUCUAGUAUCUUCCCAAAUUGAGAGAAAACAGCAUGCAGCGACUUCUUAAGUUCUGAAAAGGCAAAAAAAAAAUCAUUAACCAAAACUAAAAGAAAAUGAUGACACAGAAAUCAACAACAUUAUAUAUAUGUAGUAUAAAUAGUUAAAUGUUUUUUCAGUAACAUUUGGUUCCUAAAUAGAAGAAAACCUCAAGAAGUAUAAAUGAGCAGAGCUCAUUUAUUAAUCACCUAAGAAAAUCUAAAGUCUUAUGAAGUUUUAGACCUUUAGAUUCCCUAACUGCCUUCAAGUUGUGUAACAAAACUCACUCCUUUUAGCAAUAGUUGGGCAAAGAUCUCAUGCAUUGCAUAUUAGUCGAUGUCAAAACCUAAUAUGUAAUCGCAAUCAUUUCAAACCAUAUGGCAUAUGCUAUGCUAUCUUUUAGUAUCAUUUAAGAAUUGGUAGGAUCUGGCAGACAAAAUAUAUGGCAGCUAAUAUAAUAUGCGUUGUUUUUCAAAGUUUUUUUUCGGCAGUCUCAAAUGACCAGAAACUCAAGCGAGCAGAAUUCUAUCAGAGUAAAAUUCAAAAACAAAUAUUAGCAGCGAGUUUGCACCCUUUUAUAGUGGAGAGUGAAUAGCAGCCUCAGCCAUCUUGGAGCACUGAGGACAUAAAGGCUGCCAGCCAGUCAGACCGAAUACAUCCUAAUCAACUAUCCACCUUCCAGGAAUUUUUAGGCAGACAACCAAUUGUUCGUAUGUUUAAUUUACCAAUUUCUCAGAAAAUGAUGGCUCAACAUGGUAUAUCUAACCACUGCUCCAAACAAUUAGUCAUUUGUAGUAUUAAAUAAAUUUCAGUUGAUAUGUUAGCAUUACAUAAAUUGCAAUUGUUUAAUUAACAAUUUCACAAAAAUGAUAGGUUCAGUAUCAGUAUAUCUAAUCACUUUUUGAAACAAUUACUAAUUGUAGCAUUACAUAAGCCUCAAUUGAUGUGUGCUACCGCUACGCAACAGUUCAUUGAGUCAUCAUUCGAAAAAGCCAAUGCUCAUCCUUCACAGCAAAUACUAAUCUUUUCCUUUUUAAACCACUCCACCUAAAAAUGCGCUAGUAUCUAUUGACCUUCACCAAAGCAUCGAACCAACACAGGUGUAUAGAAUUUACCGCGAAGAACUCGAACAAAAAGGAAGCAAGCAAAGAUUUUUAUUACUUAAAUGGGUAUGCUGAGCACAAAAUAGAGUGUUCCUCGCAAAGUAAAGCCAUGUAGAAACAAUUAAUUGUUAGCAUUAGAGAGCGAGACAAGUGAAGAGAACAAGCACAAGCAAAUAUCAACAUAUAACAUAUUAAACCCUAUGUGAAGCUCAGAUGUUCGACAAAAAGCCCAAACGAGAGACGGGUCAUUCAGCGACGAACAAUGACGUAGCGGAAGUGUUGCUAGGGUUUCGGAGCGGAAAAGGGAUUAAACGUCACAGAAAAAACAAAAAAUACCAAAGAGAAGAGGAAAAAAAGGGGAAAAUGGGGGAGGGUACCAUCGAUUUUGAUCUUCUCGUUGAGGUUGUUGAUGUAGAUGGUCAUGUUGGGAGGGAUCGUCGGGGCUUCGCCAUCGCCGCUCAUCUCUCUCUCUCUCUCUCUCUCGCUCUUUCGCUCUAACGGGAGGGGGAAGAGUGUUUCUUCUCUUUUGUUUUCGUACGAGAGCGCCGGUUCGAACCGGUGGUUUGGACCAUCACUCUUUGUUUUCGUUUUUUUUGGGGAUAAAAUAUGUAUGUCUUUUUUUUUUGGGGCCAAUUUAUAUAAAAAAUUCACAAAUUUUCAGUUGCAAGACUAAGCCACUAAAUUAAAUUUUGCAGAUUCCGUCCGAAUUUUUAGAACACUGAUCAAAAUAUUCUUAUUCUCUUUUCUCUCUCUUCUUCUUUUUUACGUUUUUUUUUUCUCUCCGAUCCUCCUCCACCGCCUCCGUGACUUUUUUCGAUGGCAACAAGAUGGCCCGCCUUCUCUUCCUCCGCUUGUUUUCUUUUAUGUUUUUUUUUCUCUUCGACUCUUCUCUAUCGCCUCCGCGCGCGGUCUUCUGCGACGAUAAUGACGGCGGUACCACCUCCUCUUCCGAUGCCGGCGCCGGAGGAGAAGGAUUCAAAGUGAGUGCGGAUGAGAACAGAAUGAACGGAAGCGAUAAAGUCGUGACCGAGAUAGUGUUCGCUGUUGCUCGUGAGGGUGAGAACAAAAACAUGCCCACGUUUCUCCCAGCUCCUCUUCCGAUGCCAGCGCCGGAGGAGAAGGAUUCAAAAUGAGUGCGGAUGAGAGUAGAACGAACGGAGGCGAUAAAGUCGUGAUCGAGAUAGUGUUCGCUGUUGCUCGUGAGGGUGAGAACAAAAACAUGCCUGUGUUUCUCCAAAAAGCGCUUUCAACAAAAGCGAUGGUUACUAUAGAGGACGAGACAGAGACUGUGACAAUAAUUUUUUUAUCUUUUUUAUCUUUUAUUGCCAAUUCUCUCUCAUCCUCACCAAUCAUGCAAACAAAUUUACAAAAACAUAAAGAAUAAAUAAAAUCCCACCAAAUCACACCAAAUUUUCUGUGUAAUUAACAAGUUUUAUGAAAAUGAAAAAAAAAGAGAAAGAAAAUCCCACCAAAUCACUCAUUAUAUUGAAAUAACAGCACAAAAUUUAAUUAAAAAAAUCUGAUUUAUAUAAGAUGCCCUAAUUGAAAAAAAAAAUCCAAAAAAAAGAAAGACGACGCACCGAAGGAGAAGAGUUGCGCGAUCGAAAUGAGCGAAGAAUCUAGACGAAGGGCGAUGUGGUUAGGCAACUGGUGGGGGCGGCGCAGCGUGGGGAGAGAAUAGAGAGAAGGUGGAUUGGAGGGUAGGGUUGAGGGUGGGAUGAGAGGAAGAUGAUGGGUUAGGCAGCAGUGGGAUUUUUUUUGUUUUUUGUGUUUCUUUUAGGGCAUCAAUUCCUUUUCCCUACUUUCCCCCCCUUUCUCUUUCAGGUUGCUCCGUUAACGUCCGUCCGUCAAAAAAAAGUUACGACUACUCCUCCCAAUAUCGCACGAAUCUCGAAGCAUGAUGAAAGGUUUAAAAGUUAAUAGGACAAGGGCUGUUGUCCUAUUAAGAGGAGAGCAGCCCUACUCUCUCUCUCUCUCUCUCUCUCUCUCUCUCUCUCUCUCUCUCUCUAUAUAUAUAUAUAUAUAUAUAUAUAUAUAUAUAUAUAUAUAAAAUUGAGCUCCUAUGCUUUUAAAAGUAUCAAGUUAUUGGUGCUUGUAGAUUUUUAACCAUUGGAUUAAGAGAUAUGCGGUUAGGAUGAUGUGGGCCCCCUAGGGUUGAGUGGGUGGUUGGUUGAAUAGUAUAAUCUAAUGGUUGAAAAUGAUCAGAGAAGUAGAUCUAACGGUAAAAAACUUACAAGCACCAAGUAUUUGGUGCUUUUACAGGCACCAUAGCUGGACUAUAUAUAUAUAUAUAUAUAUAGUUAGACUGGGCUACUAUUAGUAGCAAAUCCCAUUGUUGCUACCAGUUUUUUAGCCUUUGGAUCAACUCUUUUGAUUAUUUCUAACCAUUAGAUUAAAUACUAUAACCCAGUGGGAAC
Molecule: long non-coding RNA, 26939 nt
Filed under: Ananas comosus (pineapple)
Lineage: Eukaryota; Viridiplantae; Streptophyta; Magnoliopsida; Poales; Bromeliaceae
Description: long non-coding RNA (ACOM_LNC032546)
Source: RNAcentral